CGUGUAGGCGGUUUGGUAGGUCCGCUGUGAAAACUCGAGGCUCAACCUCGAGACGCCGGUGGAAACCAUCAGACUAGAGUCCGGAAGAGGAGAGUGGAAUUCCUGGUGUAGCGGUGAAAUGCGCAGAUAUCAGGAAGAACACCCGUGGCUAAGGCGGCUCUCUAGUACGGUACUGACGCUGAGACGCGAAAGCGUGGGGAGCGAACA
This 207-nucleotide ribosomal RNA is filed under the name uncultured bacterium. RNAcentral describes it as "partial 16S ribosomal RNA". It matches the Rfam family "Bacterial small subunit ribosomal RNA", at positions 568 to 774 of the family's 1533-position model. The record is from RNAcentral.